UGCAAGUCGGACGGUAGCACAGAGAGCUUGCUCUUGGGUGACAAGUGGGGGACGGGUGAGUAAUGUGUGGGGAUCUGCCCGAUAGAGGGGGAUAACCCCUGGAAACGGGGGCUAAUACCGCAUAACGUCGCAAGACCCAAGAGGGGGACCUUCGGGCCUCUCACUAUCGGAUGAACCCACAUGGGAUUAGCUAUUAGGCGGGGUAAUGGCCCACCUAUGCGACAAUCCCUAUCUGGUCUGAGAGGAUGACCACCCACACUGGAACUGAGACACGGUCCACACUCCUACGGGAGGCAGCAGUGGGGAAUAUUGCACAAUGGGCGCAAGCCUGAUGCACCCAUGCCGCGUGUAUGAAAAAAGCCUUCGGGUUGUAAAGUACUUUCAGCGGGGAGGAAGGCGACGGGGUUAAUAACCCUGUCGAUUGACGUUACCCGCAGAAAAAACACCGGCUAACUCCGUGCCACCAGCCGCGGUAAUACGGAGGGUGCAAGCGUUAAUCGGAAUUACUGGGCGUAAAGCGCACGCACGCGGUCUGUUAAGUCAGAUGUGAAAUCCCCGGGCUUAACCUGGGAACUGCAUUUGAAACUGGCAGGCUUGAGUCUUGUAGAGGGGGGUAGAAUUCCA
Molecule: ribosomal RNA, 624 nt
Filed under: Pantoea sp.
Lineage: Bacteria; Pseudomonadati; Pseudomonadota; Gammaproteobacteria; Enterobacterales; Erwiniaceae
Description: bacterial SSU rRNA
Rfam family: Bacterial small subunit ribosomal RNA
Source: RNAcentral